AUUCUCCUCUGAACUUUUCAUUAAGCUGGUGAUUCAUUUUGAGACCCACAUUUUAUGAAGGUUGUGAAUUCAAUGCAAUGUAGCUAUUGAGGUGUCUACAUUCAAAUUGGAUUCCAUUAAGUUUAUGGUGUGAUUAAAUGUCUGAAUCAUAAGGAGUCAGGAUUGAAUUUAUGUGCCUUCUGAAAGCACUUUUGAAGACUGGCAGCUUCGAUGAGUGUAAUUUGAUGCAUGGAAUUGGGAGAAUAAACCUAAAGAGACGUCAACUCAAAUAUAACAAGGAUCUGAGAAUUGAGCAUCCAGUGUGGCCCGUGGUUGUCCAAACUGAGUUUACGCCCAAAAGAUUUCCUUGAACAGAUGUCAUCAAAGUUUUCCAGGUAAUGGCGCAGAUACCCAUCCGGAUAUUCAAAUCAGAACCCUGGGGCCAUUCCUGAUUCCUCUCUCUCCCUCAGCCUUUGUAUCGAGUUCUUCAGCAAGUCCUGUCAGAUUUGCUCUGAAAUCUGACAUCUACUUCGAUCCGCCUUCCCUGCCACCACCAACUUCUCCAAGCUCCCAGGACCACAGCCAUCAUCUUCUAGCUAUGGAAAAUAAGUGUUUCUUCUCCUCUACCAAUAGGAACCAUGUACAAGGGGCAGCCAAAUACAGGUUUGAGGGAACGUGAAGCUGUUAAUGAUACAAAAUUACAAACAAAAGUGAAUAUAUAGAAUGGUAAUAGUAGUAACGAGAAACUACAUAUAUUAAAGAGCUGACAGCGGCACCUGGGUAGCUCAGUAGGUGAAGCGUCUGCCUUCCUCUCAGGUCAUGAUCCAGCAGUCCCGGAACAGAGCCGGGAAGUGGGCUCUCUGCUCAGCAGGGAGUCUGCUUCUCCCUCUCCCCUUCCCCCAGUUCACAUUCCUUCUCUUUCUGGCUCACUCUCUCUCUCCCUCAAAUAAAUAAAAUGUAACAAACAAACAAACAAACAAAAACGUACAAAUUCUACAAAUAGAAUAAAAAAAUAAAGAAUAUUAACUGGUUGACCUCACAACUGUAAUAUGUUUAACUUUUUGGAUUUUAUACUCUCAUCUGCUAUUCACAUGAUGACGAUUUUGUAAUAUUAUCUUCCAUAGAAAUAAUGUAAAGCUUAGUGGGUCUUUUAGCCUGUAAAUGGAAUUUCAGCCUUGCAACUCAUUAUUGGCAGUAUCAUGUAGUAUUACGUACAUUUGAGGAUUGAUGUCAGAUUUCAGAAAACCUGUACCCAAGUUUCCUUUCGUAUAUGACUUGCAGAAUUUAAGAUGCUUUUCAGGUUCUCUUCUGUAGUGAACAAUGUAAAAUAAUCUUUACUUGUUGAACGGAUGGCACUCAUUAAUCAAUUUGUGUCGAUGUCUUCGUUGUAGAGGAAUAUUAUAUGUUUGAGGUUAUCUUCACUGAUAUUAGUAUUUUUUGUAAAAAUGAAAGAAAUUAAAAUCUUUUUACAAUGUGUUCCUAUGAUUCACUCUUCUUCACUAAUUGGACUAUCAAAUAAUCUAGAAGACUAUUCAUUGCUUUGAUUUAAAAUGUAUUCCUUCUUUUUAUUGGAUUACUACUUUUGUUCUGAUCUGAAUUUUGAAGGAUUACAAUUACUCAUUGAUGUCAGAAUAAUUUCUACUGAUUUAAUUGCUCAUCUGUAUUACCCUUGUUUCAUAUUCUACCAUACUUUAAAUUUUUCUCAGUUCUUUAAUAAAUCAAUUUAAAGAUGACAAAAGAAGGUACUCUGAAUAUAAGUCCAAAUCACAAGCUGUAAUUUCUCACUUGUUGAACUAAAACAUUCCAAAAGUCUGCCCAAAUUGCAGUUAAAAUGAUAUAUUCAAAAUUUAUUGAAUAAAAUGUUUGC
Mustela lutreola (European mink) is the source of this 1846-nucleotide long non-coding RNA. RefSeq lists it as uncharacterized. The transcript has 3 exons. NCBI's taxonomy places the organism in Eukaryota, Metazoa, Chordata, Mammalia, Carnivora, Mustelidae. The record is from RefSeq and is a predicted model, not a curated record.